Molecule: long non-coding RNA, 1448 nt
Filed under: Homo sapiens (human)
Lineage: Eukaryota; Metazoa; Chordata; Mammalia; Primates; Hominidae
Description: HSALNT0249075
Source: RNAcentral
GAAGGAAAUGCCACCACCAUCUGCCUCUGUUUGUGAUGACCUGGGAAUAAAUAAAAAUUAACCUUGGCCCUUGAAUGAAUCACGGAGCUUAUCAACACUUCCUUCGUGUCUUUAAUGACUAUUGUGAAACAAGUUGACAGUGAAUGUUGGAGAGAUAGGGCAGAAGGGCUAUUGUUCUAAAUGGCUCUUUACCAGGCACGGCACUUUGCACCUUCUCAUAUUUUGUGCCAUGAUGCACUUUGCACCCUGUAUUAGUAACAGUGAAAAAUAAGGAGACAGCAUCUUCUGAAGCCAGCAGGAGCUCAAUGAACCACCGGAAAAGAAAGAAGAAAGGAAAAAUAAAAGGAAGGAAGGCAGGAAUAAAAGAGGGGAAGGAGAAAAUGCUGGAGAGAAGAAGGGAAUGACAAUCCCAGUCUCCAGAUGGUCAGUGUGACUGAUGGCUGAGUUUCAGGAACAUUGUUUGCAACAAAGAAGGAGACAUCCCUUGCAUCCUGACAUAUGGUACCUUCUAUUUAUAACAAGAUUAACAAUUCAUUCACACCUUGAUUGAAUACUGCUUUAUUGAGAUGUCACAACAGAUUCUCACAGCCUGCAAAGGGAAAGACUUACAAAUGAUAAUAUUAUGACAAGCAAGACACCUAAAAGUAAAUGAAUCAUAAUUGAUGAUAAUUAGAAAGAGCUCAGCACAAACACAGAAUCAUAGCAGUGAUGGUGAGCAGGAUUCGCCUCUUGCAGAAGGACUGCCACAGAGCAAUUCUGCUGAAUUUUCAUUGAGAAGUUGAAAUCCACUCACACCUAGGAAGAAAUCAUUAGAGAUGCAGCUGCUUACAUGCAAGAGCAUGUGCACGAAGCCUGGAUACACAGAUGCAUGUGUGCGAGAGAAGGUGUACGGGAUUAGAGAGCUCUGAAUGGCCUCAUAAUAGAAUCCCAGGGGAGGGCCGGAGGUCCCAGGCCAGCGAUGCUCACACGCCCAUCUCCUCCUGUCUGUGCCGCACAAAGCCUGACAAGGCCUCACUCAUGUUUCAAAGCGCUUUCUCUUUUCAGAGCUAUUUGUUAUUGUCUCUGCCAUCACAAGUUUAAAAAAGGAAAGUUAAUUAAAUAUGGAACAAGACUGAGCAACAUCUUUUAAACCAUCAUGUCAUUAGAACUGGAAUCCUUAGAGAGCUGCUUAAAAGGGGUUUGAGAACAAUGACUGUUCAAUCAGAUAUUUAUGGGCAUAGUUAUGUAAACACACUCUUUAUUGUCUAUGUAUAUUUAAUAUAAUUAUCAGUUUUGUAGUUGGACUCUCCAGAGACCCAACAAAUCACAGUGUUGCUUUGAAAAUGUCAGCAGAAAAGACAAUUAUGUUGCUAGCAAAUAUUCAUAAAUUAUAUUAAAAAGUCCUGUGGAAAUGUCCCCAUGUUGCAGAAUCCUUUGCAGGAACUAAAUGAUUCUUGUAUUUCUUUGAU